CAAAGCCUUUGUUUCUUGCUUGGUCGCGGCAGCAGCACUGAAUAAGGCCCAGGCCCGUAGCACGGUACGACACCACCGAGAGACACGUGCGCGGCGGCCGGGCCGGCCGCUAUAUAUUCGCUCGAGCCCCUCGCUAGGGUUUCCCUCACCCUCCCUCGCAGUCCAAACCCAAUCAGAAAUCUCAAGCUUAGCACAGAAGCAAAACAAUGGCGGAGCAGACCUUCAUCAUGAUCAAGCCCGACGGCGUCCAGAGGGGCCUCAUCGGCGAGGUCAUCAGCCGCUUCGAGAAGAAGGGCUUCUACCUCAAAGGUUUGAAGCUCCAGAACGUGGAGAAGUCGUUCGCCGAGCAGCACUACGCCGAUCUGUCCUCCAAGCCCUUCUUCGCUGGGCUCGUGGAGUACAUCGUCUCCGGCCCGGUCGUCGCUAUGGUCUGGGAGGGCAAGAGCGUCGUCUCCACUGGACGCAAGAUCAUUGGCGCCACCAACCCCCUGGCCUCUGAGCCCGGCACCAUCCGUGGUGACUUCGCCGUCGACAUCGGCAGGAACGUCAUCCAUGGAAGCGACUCAGUUGAGAGUGCCAGGAAGGAGAUCGCCCUGUGGUUCCCUGAGGGCAUUGCCGAGUGGAGGAGCAGCCAGCACAACUGGAUCUACGAGGCCUAAGAUGUGUCAUGAGUGGUUGAGUGCAGCAUUGGCAUUGUAGAUGUUAAAGGCAAUAUGUAAAGACAUGACUCUGGGGAACUCCCUGAAGCGUGGCAAUGGAUGGCAGCGACGGUAAUAAAUGGAAGCGAGACGGUGAUGCAGAGCAUCCUACGGCCAUCCCCAUGGACCUAUCCUCGUCUCCUACGACACCAUAUGGACCAAUGACUAGAGCUCGAGCAAGGGCUAUUGAAACUAAGGUGAACUCCCUCCUCUCCAAACUUACACAUUCUUCAUGUGAGACAUGACUACUACCUCAAGCGGAGACCCUAUGUGUGCUCAGGUACUUAGAGGAUAGCCACGGAACAACUACAUCUAAUGAACAAGAUGGCGAGCACACCAAGUACAAGGUCUAAGAGAAAGAGCUGUCAGGAAACUACAGCCUCCGGACGACUGGACCAUGCUGGACGUCCGACGCCUGGAACACCAGCCAACGAAAGGACCCAGCCAACUAGUGCUACAACGCCCGGACGACCGACACGGUCCGGACGUCCGACACCUCCCAGCGCCCGGACAAUCGAGCCCCAUCCGGUGCCACCAUCACAGUACGAAAAUAACGGAAAUUUGAGCCCUUUCGGACGUCCGACGCCCUCCGGACAUCCGACGACACCUGACAAGAGCAGAAUCACUGAACAUCCGGGGCCCUCCGGGCGUCCGACGCCUGUCUGCGCACAGUGACUAGGACCGAAGCCCAUGUACCCCUUCGCCCCCUUAGACUAUAUACUCUGAUGAGGACAUGACUACCUUGAAUAGGACCAAAAAUAUUGC
RNAcentral lists this ribosomal RNA (1463 nucleotides) under Triticum aestivum (bread wheat). RNAcentral describes it as "partial small subunit ribosomal RNA". Lineage: Eukaryota; Viridiplantae; Streptophyta; Magnoliopsida; Poales; Poaceae. The record is from RNAcentral.